CAGGCUUAACACAUGCAAGUCGAGGGGCAGCAUGGUCUUAUCUUGCUAAGGCCGAUGGCGACCGGCGCACGGGUGAGUAACACGUAUCCAACCUGCCGUCUACUCUUGGACAGCCUUCUGAAAGGAAGAUUAAUACAAGAUGGCAUCAUGAGUCCGCAUGUUCACAUGAUUAAAGGUAUUCCGGUAGACGAUGGGGAUGCGUUCCAUUAGAUAGUAGGCGGGGUAACGGCCCACCUAGUCUUCGAUGGAUAGGGGUUCUGAGAGGAAGGUCCCCCACAUUGGAACUGAGACACGGUCCAAACUCCUACGGGAGGCAGCAGUGAGGAAUAUUGGUCAAUGGGCGAGAGCCUGAACCAGCCAAGUAGCGUGAAGGAUGACUGCCCUAUGGGUUGUAAACUUCUUUUAUAAAGGAAUAAAGUCGGGUAUGGAUACCCGUUUGCAUGUACUUUAUGAAUAAGGAUCGGCUAACUCCGUGCCAGCAGCCGCGGUAAUACGGAGGAUCCGAGCGUUAUCCGGAUUUAUUGGGUUUAAAGGGAGCGUAGAUGGAUGUUUAAGUCAGUUGUGAAAGUUUGCGGCUCAACCGUAAAAUUGCAGUUGAUACUGGAUAUCUUGAGUGCAGUUGAGGCAGGCGGAAUUCGUGGUGUAGCGGUGAAAUGCUUAGAUAUCACGAAGAACUCCGAUUGCGAAGGCAGCCUGCUAAGCUGCAACUGACAUUGAGGCUCGAAAGUGUGGGUAUCAAACAGGAUUAGAUACCCUGGUAGUCCACACGGUAAACGAUGAAUACUCGCUGUUUGCGAUAUACUGCAAGCGGCCAAGCGAAAGCGUUAAGUAUUCCACCUGGGGAGUACGCCGGCAACGGUGAAACUCAAAGGAAUUGACGGGGGCCCGCACAAGCGGAGGAACAUGUGGUUUAAUUCGAUGAUACGCGAGGAAUCUUACCCGGGCUUAAAUUGCAGAUGAAUUACGGUGAAAGCCGUAAGCCGCAAGGCAUCUGUGAAGGUGCUGCAUGGUUGUCGUCAGCUCGUGCCGUGAGGUGUCGGCUUAAGUGCCAUAACGAGCGCAACCCUUGUUGUCAGUUACUAACAGGUUCCGCUGAGGACUCUGACAAGACUGCCAUCGUAAGAUGUGAGGAAGGUGGGGAUGACGUCAAAUCAGCACGGCCCUUACGUCCGGGGCUACACACGUGUUACAAUGGGGGGUACAGAGGGCCGCUACCACGCGAGUGGAUGCCAAUCCCCAAAACCUCUCUCAGUUCGGACUGGAGUCUGCAACCCGACUCCACGAAGCUGGAUUCGCUAGUAAUCGCGCAUCAGCCACGGCGCGGUGAAUACGUUCCCGGGCCUUGUACACACCGCCCGUCAAGCCAUGGGAGCCGGGGGUACCUGAAGUGCGUAACCGCGAGGAGCGCCCUAGGGUAAAACUGGUGACUGGGGC
RNAcentral lists this ribosomal RNA (1434 nucleotides) under uncultured organism. RNAcentral describes it as "16S ribosomal RNA". It matches the Rfam family "Bacterial small subunit ribosomal RNA". The record is from RNAcentral.